UAGGGAAUCUUCCACAAUGGGCGCAAGCCUGAUGGAGCAACACCGCGUGAGUGAAGAAGGGUUUCGGCUCGUAAAGCUCUGUUGUUGGAGAAGAACGUGCGUGAGAGUAACUGUUCACGCAGUGACGGUAUCCAGCCAGAAAGUCACGGCUAACUACGUG
RNAcentral lists this ribosomal RNA (160 nucleotides) under Uncultured bacterium OL1_22B. RNAcentral's name for it is "partial 16S ribosomal RNA". It matches the Rfam family "Bacterial small subunit ribosomal RNA", at positions 355 to 507 of the family's 1533-position model. The record is from RNAcentral.